GACGAACGCUGGCGGCGCGCCUAACACAUGCAAGUCGAACGGAGGCAAGAGGAGCUUGCUUCUCUUGACUUAGUGGCGAACGGGUGAGUAACGCGUGAGUAACCUGCCUUGGAGUGGGGGAUAACAGUUGGAAACCACUGCUAAUACCGCAUAAUCUCACGGAUCUGCAUGGACCUGCGGGAAGAGGGUUUAUUCGCUCUAGGAUGGAAGCGCGUCCAAUUAACUAGUUGGUGAGGUAACGGCCCACCAAGGCGACGAAUGGUAGCUGGACGGCGAGGUGGCGCCGCCACAUUGAGGCUGAGCCACGGCCCAGACUCCUACGGGAGGCAGCAAUGGGGGAUAUUGCAAAGUGGGGGAAACCCUGAUGCACCGACGACGCGUGAACGAUGAAAGUUUUCAAGUUGUAAACUCCAGUCGUCAGGGAACAUCAUGACGGUACCUAACCAGAAAGCCCCGGCUAACUACGUG
Molecule: ribosomal RNA, 468 nt
Filed under: uncultured bacterium
Lineage: Bacteria
Description: partial 16S ribosomal RNA
Rfam family: Bacterial small subunit ribosomal RNA
Source: RNAcentral